CCUACGGGAGGCAGCAGUGGGGAAUAUUGGACAAUGGGCGAAAGCCUGAUCCAGCCAUGCCGCGUGUGUGAAGAAGGUCUUCGGAUUGUAAAGCACUUUAAGUUGGGAGGAAGGGCAGUAAYUUAAUACRUUGCUGUUUUGACGUUACCAACAGAAUAAGCACCGGCUAACUUUGUGCCAGCAGCCGCGGUAAU
Molecule: ribosomal RNA, 194 nt
Filed under: uncultured Pseudomonas sp.
Lineage: Bacteria; Pseudomonadati; Pseudomonadota; Gammaproteobacteria; Pseudomonadales; Pseudomonadaceae
Description: partial 16S ribosomal RNA
Rfam family: Bacterial small subunit ribosomal RNA
Source: RNAcentral